AGAGUUUGAUCCUGGCUCAGGAUGAACGCUGGCGGCGUGCCUAACACAUGCAAGUCGAACGGGAAUCUUCGGAUUCUAGUGGCGGACGGGUGAGUAACGCGUAAGAAUCUAACUUCAGGACGGGGACAACAGUUGGAAACGACUGCUAAUACCCGAUAUGCCGCAAGGUGAAACCUAAUUGGCCUGGAGAAGAGCUUGCGUCUGAUUAGCUAGUUGGUGGGGUAAGAGCCUACCAAGGCGACGAUCAGUAGCUGGUCUGAGAGGAUGAGCAGCCACACUGGGACUGAGACACGGCCCAGACUCCUACGGGAGGCAGCAGUGGGGAAUUUUCCGCAAUGGGCGAAAGCCUGACGGAGCAACGCCGCGUGAGGGAGGAAGGUCUUUGGAUUGUAAACCUCUUUUCUCAAGGAAGAAGUUCUGACGGUACUUGAGGAAUCAGCCUCGGCUAACUCCGUGCCAGCAGCCGCGGUAAUACGGGGGAGGCAAGCGUUAUCCGGAAUUAUUGGGCGUAAAGCGUCCGCAGGUGGUCAGCCAAGUCUGCCGUCAAAUCAGGUUGCUUAACGACCUAAAGGCGGUGGAAACUGGCCGACUAGAGAGCAGUAGGGGUAGCAGGAAUUCCCAGUGUAGCGGUGAAAUGCGUAGGGAUUGGGAAGAACAUCGGUGGCGAAAGCGUGCUACUGGGCUGUAUCUGACACUCAGGGACGAAAGCUAGGGGAGCGAAAGGGAUUAGAUACCCCUGUAGUCCUAGCCGUAAACGAUGGAUACUAGGCGUGGCUUGUAUCGACCCGAGCCGUGCCGAAGCUAACGCGUUAAGUAUCCCGCCUGGGGAGUACGCACGCAAGUGUGAAACUCAAAGGAAUUGACGGGGGCCCGCACAAGCGGUGGAGUAUGUGGUUUAAUUCGAUGCAACGCGAAGAACCUUACCAAGACUUGACAUGUCGCGAACCCUGGUGAAAGCUGGGGGUGCCUUCGGGAGCGCGAACACAGGUGGUGCAUGGCUGCCGUCAGCUCGUGUCGUGAGAUGUUGGGUUAAGUCCCGCAACGAGCGCAACCCUCGUUCUUAGUUGCCAGCAUUAAGUUGGGGACUCUAAGGAGACUGCCGGUGACAAACCGGAGGAAGGUGGGGAUGACGUCAAGUCAGCAUGCCCCUUACGUCUUGGGCGACACACGUACUACAAUGGUCGGGACAAAGGGCAGCGAACUCGCGAGAGCCAGCGAAUCCCAGCAAACCCGGCCUCAGUUCAGAUUGCAGGCUGCAACUCGCCUGCAUGAAGGAGGAAUCGCUAGUAAUCGCCGGUCAGCAUACGGCGGUGAAUUCGUUCCCGGGCCUUGUACACACCGCCCGUCACACCAUGGAAGCUGGUCACGCCCGAAGUCAUUACCUCAACCGCAAGGAGGGGGAUGCCUAAGGCAGGGCUAGUGGCUGGGGUGAAU
This 1434-nucleotide ribosomal RNA is filed under the name metagenome. Its description in RNAcentral is "bacterial SSU rRNA". It matches the Rfam family "Bacterial small subunit ribosomal RNA". The record is from RNAcentral.